RNAcentral lists this transfer RNA (73 nucleotides) under Nematostella vectensis (starlet sea anemone). It matches the Rfam family "tRNA". Rfam says of the family: Transfer RNA (tRNA) molecules are approximately 80 nucleotides in length. Their secondary structure includes four short double-helical elements and three loops (D, anti-codon, and T loops). Further hydrogen bonds mediate the characteristic L-shaped molecular structure. tRNAs have two regions of fundamental functional importance: the anti-codon, which is responsible for specific mRNA codon recognition, and the 3' end, to which the tRNAs corresponding amino acid is attached (by aminoacyl-tRNA synthetases). tRNAs cope with the degeneracy of the genetic code in two manners: having more than one tRNA (with a specific anti-codon) for a particular amino acid; and 'wobble' base-pairing, i.e. permitting non-standard base-pairing at the 3rd anti-codon position. The record is from Rfam by way of RNAcentral. Lineage: Eukaryota; Metazoa; Cnidaria; Anthozoa; Actiniaria; Edwardsiidae.
GCGUUGGUGGUAUAUUGGUUAGCAUAGCUGCCUUCCAAGCAGUUGACCCGGGUUUGGAUUCCCGGCUAAAGCA